ACCGCUACAGCGUUUGGGAUUGUAAAAGUUAAUUGGAGUUCGAGAAGUGAUUAUUAUUUUUGUGUGUGUUGCGUAUAUUCUAUUCUUUAUUCUUUCGUCACUGAUCCUGUUCUGGAGUGUUUUGGACGAAGCUGUUCAUCCUGAGACUAGACAACAGUUAAGUAUGCACCCGGGAAUGGCGCUUGGGAUUUCCAGUGAUUAGGCUUAUCGUCACCUCGUUGGUUCAACUACCUAUAAUCCCCGGCUUCUGCAGGGAGUUUGGUACGAGGGUAGCCCAAGUCGUGAUCACAUUUUUACCAUAAAUCUUCAAGCAGGAAAAGGUGCCAUCUUGAGCCAAACAGGUCAGGACUUCUCGGAAGAACCAGAAUUCAACAAAAUAUUCACGGGGGCCCGGAUUUGCAAGCUGCUUCAAGAUCUCUAAAAGCUUUGUGUAGGCUGCUUAAAUUUUGUAGUGUUAUCAAUGUUGCAAGUUUCCUUAAAAGGCAUAUGUCGAUCCUCGGCUAUGCUACAUUAUUUUAAACCUGCCAUUUGUCUGUGGUAAUUGCUCAUAUUGAAAGAUUAAUUAAUGGAUCUUUAGUUUUCAGUUCUUUACAAAAUAUUUGAAUAAUGAAAAUAAAAAAUGUGGUUUAUCUAUAGUAUUUUACAACCUUUGAAGGUAAAUAAUUAACUUGGAAAUACAUAUCAGCAUGAACGAUUAUACAUGUAAAAGUAUCUCAUUUUUAACGGUACAAAUUAACACAAGCCUCUUGCAUAGUAUUGUUGGAAACUGUCGAGUAUCUAUGAUCGAACUGCUGGCAGUUUGGUAUAGG
Macrobrachium nipponense is the source of this 809-nucleotide long non-coding RNA. RefSeq lists it as uncharacterized. The record is from RefSeq and is a predicted model, not a curated record. NCBI's taxonomy places the organism in Eukaryota, Metazoa, Arthropoda, Malacostraca, Decapoda, Palaemonidae. The transcript is spliced from 3 exons.